GACUCUCAUAAACUUGAGUCUUAAGUCACGAAAAAGGGCCAACUCUCACGUGUUGGCAGAAAGUUACCAAAAUAUGUUAAGGACUUAAUUCAGAGAUAAUGUUGCUAAACGAUUUACAGUCGAUAAUCUUUCGAAAGCAGAAAAACUCAGUGUCAAACAAAGAAUACGCGAAUUAUUUGAGAUAUGAUUGAAAUUUGCAAAGAAAGUAAAAAUCAAACUAGUUUCAUUCUAAGUUAUUGUAUAUAAUUUUAAAAUUUUGGAACAGAAGUGAUGCAAUGUUUAUUUA
Molecule: long non-coding RNA, 286 nt
Organism: Hydra vulgaris (swiftwater hydra)
Lineage: Eukaryota; Metazoa; Cnidaria; Hydrozoa; Anthoathecata; Hydridae
Source: RefSeq, a predicted model, not a curated record